CCUCGGGAGGCAGCAGUGGGGAAUUUUCCGCAAUGGGCGAAAGCCUGACGGAGCAAUACCGCGUGAGGGAAGACGGCCUAUGGGUUGUAAACCUCUUUUUUCAGGGAGGAAUUCAAUGACGUGUACCUGAAGAAUAAGCAUCGGCUAACUCCGUGCCAGCAGCCGCGGUAAGACGGAGGAUGCAAGUGUUAUCCGGAAUCACUGGGCGUAAAGCGUCUGUAGGUGGUUGAACAAGUCAACUGUUAAAUCUUGAGGCUUAACUUCAAAAUCGCAGUCGAAACUGUUUGACUAGAGUAUAGUAGGGGUAAAGGGAAUUUCCAGUGGAGCGGUGAAAUGCGUAGAUAUUGGAAAGAACACCGAUGGCGAAGGCACUUUACUGGGCUAUUACUGACACUCAGAGACGAAAGCUAGGGUAGCAAAUGGGAUUAGAUACCCCAGUAGUCCUAGCCGUAAACAAUGGAUACUAGAUGUUGAACAGAUCGACCUGUGCAGUAUCAAAGCUAACGCGUUAAGUAUCCCGCCUGGGAAGUAUGCUCGCAAGAGUGAAACUCAAAGGAAUUGACGG
Molecule: ribosomal RNA, 565 nt
Filed under: uncultured bacterium
Lineage: Bacteria
Description: bacterial SSU rRNA
Rfam family: Bacterial small subunit ribosomal RNA
Source: RNAcentral